CCUGGGCACACAUGAGGCCACGCCCAGCGCUCCUCCUCAGGCUCCCAGGCUCGGCUCCCCAGGGGCUUCUACCUCGGCCUCACCAGCAUGCCCAGGAGGGCUUGAGACAGUGCCGGAGAAGGCCACGCUGGGCGUCCUAGCAGGACUAGGGUCCGACUGAAACAGGGCAGGGGCCCAGAUGAGCAGGCAUGCUGAGAGACUGGAGGAACUGGGGUAAAAUCUCCCCAUGUCUUCAUUUCUUCAUUUGUCAACAUGGCAGCCUUGCCGGCGAGGAGGGAGAGGCACGGAGACCUCAGGAGAGGUGCUGCCGCACUCUCAGAGCCUCCUGGCCUUAUCUCUCCACGGGGUGUCAUGGCAGAUGAUCCCACAGGCCUCGCUCAGCUCCAGACAGCUCUGGACUUGGAUGUCUGAGUGAGCAGAAUGACUGGAAUGCAGAUCCCAGGGCCAAGGAGGGUCAGAAGUCCUUCACGGGACCCUGGCAUGGGCCACACAGAGAGAUAUGGGAGGGGCCCAGAGCCUCUGACCACGAGCAGGCUCAGCAGACAGUGAACCAGCAAGGAGGACACUGUCUGCCAUGUCCUGGACUGGCCUGUCACCCCCAGGCACUACACUUCUCCAGUGGCAUACCAGAAGUGCAAACCUCCAUUCCACAAGAAGAACUUCUUCAAAGGGUCUGAGGUGCUAGAUGGAUGGUGAGGAGGAAUUGAAACAUCAGUCCAUUCCCACUGGUACCAGCAUGGCAGUGCAGGAGAAGGAACCAGAAGGCAAGAGACCUUCCAGUGCCAGCUUCUCCGAGCUGUGGCCCAGGACGUGAGGACAGCAUUCUCCACAGAGCCUGCCUUGUGCGAAACGAAGAUGCGACUCCUUCCCAAGAUUCAACACAAUACCAAUCAGAAUCCAGCAAGUCAUAUUGUGGAUUUCAACAAACUGAUUCUAAAGCUUGUAUGGAAAAGCAAAACCCCCAGAAUAACCAACACAAUACUGAAGAAGAACAGAGUCAGAAGACUGACACUACCUGACUUCAAGACUUACUGUAAGUCUACAAUGAUCAAGGCAGUAUCAUACUGGUGAAAAAAACAGACAAGUUAAUGGAACAGAAAAGAGAGCCUAGAAAUAGACCCUCACAAACAGUCACGUGGCCUUUGACCAAGGAGCAAAGAUAAUUCAAUGGGUAAAAGACAGUUUUUGCUGCUGGAACAAUUAGACAUACACAGGCAAAAUCAAUGGAUCUAGACACAAGCUUGACACUCUUUGUAGGAAUUGUCUCAAAGUGGAUCACAGACUUAAUUGCAAAACUAUAGAGACUAUAUAGGACAAAAUCUAGGUAGUCUUGGGUUUGGUGAUGACUUUUUAGAUAUACCACCCAAAACAUGACUCAUAAAAGAAAAAAUGGCCUCAUUGGACUUUAAUAAAAUGAACAUUUUUGCUCUGUGAAAGACACUGUUAUGAAAAGGGAAAGACAAGUUAUAGCCUGGGAGAAAAUCUUUUCAAAACAUGUAUAUGAUGAAAAAUGUGUAUCUCAAAUAUACAAAUAAGUCUUAGGCUGGGGAGGUAUAUUAGUGGUAGAGCCCUUGCCUAGCAUCCACAAAGCCCUGGGUUCCAUCCCCACUAUCAAAACAACAUCCUACCAGUUUAAAGAUAGUGAAAUAUUGGAAUAACACCUAACCUCUCAAAAAAAGACACACAGGUGUCAAAUAUGUAGACAGAAAGAUAUUCAACAUCACAUGUCACUAAAGAAUUGCAAGUUAAAAUAGUGGUGGCUACCACUUCACUCUUAAAGUGGCUAAAACCCUAAACACUGACGAUACCAAAUGUUGAAGAGAAUGUGGAGUAACAGGAAUGCAAAUGGCACAGCCACUGUGGAAGAUUGUUUGGCAGUUUCUUAUAAAGCGAAAAGUUCAGGUAACCCUAAACAUAUAGGCUUACCACAUGAUCUAACAAUCAUACUCUUAGGUAUUUGUCAAAAUGAUUUGAAAGCGUUGCUAACACAAAAACCUAUGCACAAAUGUUAUAGCAGCUUCAUUCAUAGUUGCUUAUAAUUAGAAGCAACCAAGAUAUUCUACAAUAGGUGAAUAAAUAAACAAACUGUGGGAUGUAAAUACAAUGGACUCUUCAUCAAUAAAGAGAAAGAUGCCAUCAAGCCCCAAGAAAUCAUGGAAGAAACUUAGGAUUUCAAGAGGGGCCCGCCUGUUUGAGGAGACCAGAACUUGCUUUGUGGAAGAUGUUCUAUUGUUUCAGAAUGCACCAUUUGAGCUGACCCCUGAGCUCUGUUAAUACAAAGCAAAGACCGGCCUAUGUCUUGUUGAGUAUGAGAAAGCACUCUGGGACCCUACAGGAGAUCACUGACUCAUGAGAUGUUAACACCCGUUAGUAAUAUACAUUUAGUGAAUUGGUUGGAUUAUGUCUCCCAGGGUUGUUUUAUCUAGAAUGCUACCAUCUCCUAAUUUGGAAUCAGACUAUUCUAUGCCUGAAAUUCGUGUGUUCUUGCAAAGCUGUGUGUAUUACUCUGGGGUCAGUUGUUUGCAUCCGAUGAGGAGCUGCGUAGGGGACAGAAGGGCUCACUUCCUCAGUUUAGGCGGAAGCUCCCAGGCACAGCCCAACUAGGGCUGGGAGUUGG
Molecule: long non-coding RNA, 2617 nt
Filed under: Heterocephalus glaber (naked mole-rat)
Lineage: Eukaryota; Metazoa; Chordata; Mammalia; Rodentia; Bathyergidae
Description: lncRNA (ENSHGLG00100038591.1)
Source: RNAcentral